Molecule: long non-coding RNA, 1235 nt
Filed under: Equus caballus (horse)
Lineage: Eukaryota; Metazoa; Chordata; Mammalia; Perissodactyla; Equidae
Description: lncRNA (ENSECAG00000052418.1)
Source: RNAcentral
GUCUGCGGUUGGCAGGGGGCUUGGGGGACAGUCCAGGAGGCCCACGCAGUGCUCCAGGAGAGAGAUGGUGGCGACUUGGACUAAGGGAUGGGGGCGAUGGAGGGAAGUGGACAGUCCUGAGGGAAUCUUGCAGAAGGAUGGAUCAGUCAUGGUGCUGGUGGGCUCUGGGGUCCUGUGCCCCGAAGAGCUUCCUUCCUCCUUCCACACGCCUCCCAGUGCCUCCCAGGAUUGCAACUUGGCGGAACUGAGCAGGGAGAAGCAGCAGCUUCAAGGACGCUCCUCAGCGUGGAACGAGAAACAAUGUCACCCUCGGAGAGGAGUGUACCUCUCAGCCCACUGGCCAGCACUCCAUGUUCCUCCCUUUAGGAAAGACCCAGCUUCCACUGGCCUAGUGUGUGUGCACACACGUGUGCCUUCUGGUCAUUGCUCCAGAACACGAGGAGGGAAGAAACAGAAAAUCAUCAAAGAGGAAAAUUAACGGCUGGAGAGGGCAUUGUUAACCCUUAUGGCUUGGCUCACCUGGCUUUCCACCCCGCAGCUCCGCGUGCACCCGCCAAAGCGGCUGAGUCUUUUUAUGACUACAACUCCAAGAAGGGAAAAAAGACGCGAAAAGAAGAGGGGGGGAAAAAACCAAACCAGGAGGCAGAGGAGAAAAAAGCAAAAGAAAAGAGAAAGAGAAUUAAACCAUUAAUCUGCCUGGAUUUUCCACUUCACAGAGUAAUCAGUUUGGAAGUGACUGAAAUAAAGUGGAAUGUACGAUUCCCACCAUCUCCUCCCUCCAGUCCACAUUUCUUAUUUACAGAAAAACGGGGAGCCAGAGAGGCGGCCUCCUUGCCCCCCACAAAGGCCUCCAGUGUCCGCUCGAGACGAGGACAAGGACCCCAGCCCUCAGCCGCAGCUGCCCGAUGCCUCGACACCCGGGCGACGGCCGCCCUGAGCUGGAGGUGCAAAGCCAAGAUGAUUUAAUUUAUAGAAAGGACAAGGAUGUCGUGUAGCAGAUUUAAUCAUCGGAGAGUUUAAAAAAAAAUAAGGACCGGGCUAAUGUCGUAAUUUACAUUUCAGGAUAAUAAAGAGAGAAAGACAGACAAGGAAGGGCCCUAGCCAGCGAGGGAGUGAGGAGGGGAGGCCGACCAGGGGGCCGAGGGAGCCCAAUAGAUUUGCCUGAAACACCAAUAAAUUUAAAAACAAACCCAGAAAGCUAAAGACAGCCCCUGGAAAGUGCUGGGAAAAUGGAC